Molecule: ribosomal RNA, 497 nt
Filed under: uncultured bacterium
Lineage: Bacteria
Description: partial 16S ribosomal RNA
Rfam family: Bacterial small subunit ribosomal RNA
Source: RNAcentral
GAUGAACGCUGGCGGCGUGCCUAAUACAUGCAAGUCGAGCGAACGGACGAGAAGCUUGCUUCUCUGAUGUUAGCGGCGGACGGGUGAGUAACACGUGGAUAACCUACCUAUAAGACUGGGAUAACUUCGGGAAACCGGAGCUAAUACCGGAUAAUAUUUUGAACCGCAUGGUUCAAAAGUGAAAGACGGUCUUGCUGUCACUUAUAGAUGGAUCCGCGCUGCAUUAGCUAGUUGGUAAGGUAACGGCUUACCAAGGCAACGAUGCAUAGCCGACCGGAGAGGGUGAUCGGCCACACGGGAACUGAGACACGGUCCAGACGCCUAAGGGAGGCAGCAGUAGGGAAUCUUCCGCAAUGGGCGAAAGCCUGACGGAGCAACGCCGCGUGAGUGAUGGAGGUCUUCGGAUCGUAAAACUCUGUUAUUAGGGAAGAACAUAUGUGUAAGUAACUGUGCACAUCUUGACGGUACCUAAUCAGAAAGCCACGGCUAACUACGUG